This 338-nucleotide ribosomal RNA is filed under the name Jassulus granulosus. RNAcentral's name for it is "partial 12S ribosomal RNA". Lineage: Eukaryota; Metazoa; Arthropoda; Insecta; Hemiptera; Cicadellidae. The record is from RNAcentral.
CCUAUUAUUUAUUUUUUAAUUUUUUUUGAUUACUAUUAGCUAAGUUCUUUAAAAUUCAAAGAUUUUGGCGGUUAAUUAAUUCUUUUUAGAGGAACAUGUAUUUUAAUCGAUAAUCCACGAUAGUUUUUACCUUUAUUUAUACUUGUAUAUCUCUAUUGUUUAGAAAAUUUUAUUAAUAAUUUUCUUUAACUUUUUAAGAUUAAUUUUAGGUCAAGGUGCAGUUUUAUAAUGGAUUUUAUGUGUUACUUAAAUUUUAUAUAAUAUUUAUUUUUAAUUUUUUUUUUAGGAUUUAAUAGUAAAUUUAAUUAAUUAAUUAAUUUGAAUUAAGUUCUAAUUAA